GUGCCAGCAGCCGCGGUAAUACGGAGGGUCCGAGCGUUAUCCGGAAUCAUUGGGUUUAAAGGGUCCGCAGGCGGUCAAUUAAGUCAGAGGUGAAAUCCCAUAGCUUAACUAUGGAACUGCCUUUGAUACUGGUUGACUUGAGUUAUAUGGAAGUAGAUAGAAUGUGUAGUGUAGCGGUGAAAUGCAUAGAUAUUACACAGAAUACCGAUUGCGAAGGCAGUCUACUACGUAUAUACUGACGCUCAUGGACGAAAGCGUGGGGAGCGAACAGGAUUAGAUACCCUGGUAGUCCACGCCGUAAACGAUGGACACUAGUUGUUGGGAUUUAUCUCAGUGACUAAGCGAAAGUGAUAAGUGUCCCACCUGGGGAGUACGAUCGCAAGAUUGAAACUCAAAGGAAUUGACGGGGGCCCGCACAAGCGGUGGAGCAUGUGGUUUAAUUCGAUGAUACGCGAGGAACCUUACCAGGGCUUAAAUGUAGUCUGACAGCUUUAGAGAUAGAGUUUUCUUCGGACAGAUUACAAGGUGCUGCAUGGUUGUCGUCAGCUCGUGCCGUGAGGUGUCAGGUUAAGUCCUAUAACGAGCGCAACCCUUGUCGUUAGUUGCCAGCAUGUAAAGAUGGGGACUCUAACGAGACUGCCGGUGCAAACCGAGAGGAAAGUGGGGAUGACGUCAAAUCAUCACGGCCCUUACGUCCUGGGCCACACACGUGCUACAAUGGUAUGGACAA
Molecule: ribosomal RNA, 730 nt
Filed under: uncultured bacterium
Lineage: Bacteria
Description: SSU rRNA
Rfam family: Bacterial small subunit ribosomal RNA
Source: RNAcentral